UACGAAGGGGGGCUAGCGUUGUUCGGAAUUACUGGGCGUAAAGCGCGCGUAGGCGGUGAUCUUUGUCAGAGGUGAAAGCCCGGGGCUCAACUCCGGAAUUGCCUUUGAAACGGGAUUGCUAGAGUCCGAGAGAGGAUGGCGGAAUUCCUAGUGUAGAGGUGAAAUUCGUAGAUAUUAGGAAGAACACGGUGGCGAAGGCGGCCAUCUGGCUCGGUACUGACGCUCAGGCGCGAAAGCGUGGGGAGCAAACAGGG
This 254-nucleotide ribosomal RNA is filed under the name uncultured bacterium. RNAcentral describes it as "partial 16S ribosomal RNA". It matches the Rfam family "Bacterial small subunit ribosomal RNA", at positions 524 to 777 of the family's 1533-position model. The record is from RNAcentral.